Molecule: small nuclear RNA, 126 nt
Organism: Loxodonta africana (African savanna elephant)
Lineage: Eukaryota; Metazoa; Chordata; Mammalia; Proboscidea; Elephantidae
Source: Ensembl
AUGUUAUAUGAAAGGAGAGAAGGUUAGCACUCCCCUUGACAAGGAUGGAAGAAGCCCUCGGGCCUUACAACACACGUAUGGUUAAGGCAUUGCCACCUGCCUUGUGGCAUCUAACCAUAGUUCUUU